CCUACGGGCGGCAGCAGUGAGGAAUAUCGGUCAAUGGCCGAGAGGCUGAACCAGCCAAGUCGCGUGAGGGAAGACGGCCCUACGGGUUGUAAACCUCUUUUGUCGGGGAGCAAAGCGAACCACGUGUGGUUCAUUGAGAGUACCCGAAGAAAAAGCAUCGGCUAACUCCGUGCCAGCAGCCGCGGUAAUACGGAGGAUGCGAGCGUUAUCCGGAUUUAUUGGGUUUAAAGGGUGCGCAGGCGGAGGUGCAAGUCAGCGGUAAAAUUGCGGGGCUCAACCCCGUACUGCCGUUGAUACUGCAUGCCUUGAGUGCGCGAGAGGUAUGCGGAAUGCGUGGUGUAGCGGUGAAAUGCAUAGAGAUCACGCAGAACUCCGAUUGCGAAGGCAGCAUACCGGCGUGCAACUGACGUGGAUGCACGAAAGCGUGGGUAUCGAACAGGAUUAGAUACCCUAGUAGUC
This 459-nucleotide ribosomal RNA is filed under the name uncultured bacterium. RNAcentral's name for it is "partial 16S ribosomal RNA". It matches the Rfam family "Bacterial small subunit ribosomal RNA", at positions 338 to 795 of the family's 1533-position model. The record is from RNAcentral.